CCCAGUAACGGCGAGUGAAGCGGCAACAGCUCAAAUUUGAAAUCUGGCCCCCCGCGGGCCCGAGUUGUACUUUGGAGAGGACGCUUCUGGCGCGGCGCCGUCCGAGUUCCCUGGAACGGGACGCCGGAGAGGGUGAGAGCCCCGUACGGGCGGCCGCCUAGCCUCUGCGAAGCUCCUUCGACGAGUCGAGUAGUUUGGGAAUGCUGCUCAAAAUGGGAGGUAAAUUUCUUCUAAAGCUAAAUACCGGCCAGAGACCGAUAGCGCACAAGUAGAGUGAUCGAAAGAUGAAAAGCACUUUGAAAAGAGGGUCAAACAGUACGUGAAAUUGUUGAAAGGGAAGCGCCUGUGGCCAGACUUGCGCCCCGCGGACCACCCGGCGCCUCGCGCGCCGGGGCACGCCAGCGGGGCGCAGGCCAGCAUCGGCUCUCUCGGGGGGACAAAGGCCGCGGGAACGUAGCGCCCUCGCGGCGUAUUAUAGCCCGCGGCGCCAUGCCCCCGGGGGGGCCGAGGACCGCGCUCCGGCAAGGAUGCUGGCGUAAUGGCCACCGGCGACCCGUCUUGAAACACGGACCAAGGAGUCAAGCAUUGGGGCGAGUGUCUGGGUGGCAAGCCCGCACGCGGAAUGAAAGUGAACGCAGGUGGGAGCUUCGGCGCACCACCGACCGAUCCUGAUGUCCUCGGAUGGAUUUGAGUAGGAGCCCCGCCGCUUGGACCCGAAAGAUGGUGAACUAUGCCUGUAUAGGGUGAAGCCAGAGGAAACUCUGGUGGAGGCCCGCAGCGGUUCUGACGUGCAAAUCGAUCGU
This 803-nucleotide ribosomal RNA is filed under the name Harringtonia lauricola. RNAcentral's name for it is "Raffaelea lauricola partial large subunit ribosomal RNA". It matches the Rfam family "Eukaryotic large subunit ribosomal RNA", at positions 79 to 905 of the family's 3401-position model. The record is from RNAcentral. Lineage: Eukaryota; Fungi; Ascomycota; Sordariomycetes; Ophiostomatales; Ophiostomataceae.